RNAcentral lists this ribosomal RNA (253 nucleotides) under uncultured bacterium. Its description in RNAcentral is "partial 16S ribosomal RNA". It matches the Rfam family "Bacterial small subunit ribosomal RNA", at positions 524 to 776 of the family's 1533-position model. The record is from RNAcentral.
UACGUAGGAUGCGAGCGUUGUCCGGAUUUAUUGGGUUUAAAGGGUGCGUAGGUGGCUUAUUAAGUCGUGGGUGAAAGCUGACAGCUCAACUGUCAAACUGCCUGCGAUACUGGUGAGCUUGAGUAUGGUUGAGGUAUGUAGAAUUGGUGGUGUAGCGGUGAAAUGCAUAGAUACCAUCAGGAAUACCAAUUGCGAAGGCAGCAUACUAAGCCAUAACUGACACUGAGGCACGAAAGCGUGGGUAUCAAACAGG